RNAcentral lists this ribosomal RNA (464 nucleotides) under Vreelandella stevensii. RNAcentral's name for it is "partial 16S ribosomal RNA". It matches the Rfam family "Bacterial small subunit ribosomal RNA", at positions 338 to 794 of the family's 1533-position model. The record is from RNAcentral. Lineage: Bacteria; Pseudomonadati; Pseudomonadota; Gammaproteobacteria; Oceanospirillales; Halomonadaceae.
CCUACGGGGAGCUGCAGUGGGGAAUAUUGGACAAUGGGCGAAAGCCUGAUCCAGCCAUGCCGCGUGUGUGAAGAAGGCCUUCGGGUUGUAAAGCACUUUCAGUGGGGAAGAAAGCCUUGGGGCUAAUACCCUCGAGGAAGGACAUCACCCACAGAAGAAGCACCGGCUAACUCCGUGCCAGCAGCCGCGGUAAUACGGAGGGUGCGAGCGUUAAUCGGAAUUACUGGGCGUAAAGCGCGCGUAGGCGGUCUGAUAAGCCGGUUGUGAAAGCCCCGGGCUCAACCUGGGAACGGCAUCCGGAACUGUCAGGCUAGAGUGCAGGAGAGGAAGGUAGAAUUCCCGGUGUAGCGGUGAAAUGCGUAGAGAUCGGGAGGAAUACCAGUGGCGAAGGCGGCCUUCUGGACUGACACUGACGCUGAGGUGCGAAAGCGUGGGUAGCAAACAGGAUUAGAUACCCCUGUAGU